GACGAACGCUGGCGGCGUGCUUAACACAUGCAAGUCGAACGGAAAGGCCCUGCUUUUGUGGGGUGCUCGAGUGGCGAACGGGUGAGUAACACGUGAGUAACCUGCCCUUGACUUUGGGAUAACUUCAGGAAACUGGGGCUAAUACCGGAUAGGAGCUCCUGCUGCAUGGUGGGGGUUGGAAAGUUUCGGCGGUUGGGGAUGGACUCGCGGCUUAUCAGCUUGUUGGUGGGGUAGUGGCUUACCAAGGCUUUGACGGGUAGCCGGCCUGAGAGGGUGACCGGCCACAUUGGGACUGAGAUACGGCCCAGACUCCUACGGGAGGCAGCAGUGGGGAAUAUUGCACAAUGGGCGGAAGCCUGAUGCAGCAACGCCGCGUGCGGGAUGACGGCCUUCGGGUUGUAAACCGCUUUCGCCUGUGACGAAGCGUGAGUGACGGUAAUGGGUAAAGAAGCACCGGCUAACGACG
RNAcentral lists this ribosomal RNA (466 nucleotides) under uncultured bacterium. RNAcentral describes it as "partial 16S ribosomal RNA". It matches the Rfam family "Bacterial small subunit ribosomal RNA", at positions 28 to 505 of the family's 1533-position model. The record is from RNAcentral.